AGCUUUGCGCAGUGGCAGUAUCGUAGCCAAUGAGGUUUAUCCGAGGCGCGAUUAUUGCUAAUAGAAGACUGAAUCUUUACUCCCAGUGAGGCCACCUGUUUUCUCAGACACAAUCCUAGAUAUUCUGAUAUUCAUUAAUGU
This is a small nuclear RNA of Neogale vison (American mink), 141 nucleotides long. Its record names the gene U4. It matches the Rfam family "U4 spliceosomal RNA". From Rfam's summary of the family: U4 small nuclear RNA (U4 snRNA) is a component of the major U2-dependent spliceosome. The structure of U4 snRNA from yeast and human has been reported. The record is from Ensembl. NCBI's taxonomy places the organism in Eukaryota, Metazoa, Chordata, Mammalia, Carnivora, Mustelidae.